Molecule: transfer RNA, 65 nt
Filed under: Ischalia sp. BMNH 840493
Lineage: Eukaryota; Metazoa; Arthropoda; Insecta; Coleoptera; Anthicidae
Description: tRNA-Asp
Source: RNAcentral
AAAAAUUUAGUUAAAAUAUAACACCAAUUUGUCAUAUUGGAAUUAAUUUCAAUAAUUAAUUUUUA